RNAcentral lists this ribosomal RNA (293 nucleotides) under uncultured bacterium. RNAcentral describes it as "partial 16S ribosomal RNA". It matches the Rfam family "Bacterial small subunit ribosomal RNA", at positions 775 to 1067 of the family's 1533-position model. The record is from RNAcentral.
GGAUUAGAUACCCUGGUAGUCCACGCCGUAAACGAUGUCGACCAGCCGUUGGGUGCCUAGCGCACUUUGUGGCGAAGUUAACGCGAUAAGUCGACCGCCUGGGGAGUACGGCCGCAAGGUUAAAACUCAAAUGAAUUGACGGGGGCCCGCACAAGCGGUGGAGCAUGUGGUUUAAUUCGAUGCAACGCGAAGAACCUUACCUACUCUUGACAUCCUGCGAAUUCGGUAGAGAUACCUUAGUGCCUUCGGGAACGCAGAGACAGGUGCUGCAUGGCUGUCGUCAGCUCGUGCCG